UACGGGGGGGGCAAGCGUUGUUCGGAAUUACUGGGCGUAAAGGGCUCGUAGGCGGCCAACUAAGUCAUACGUGAAAUCCCUCGGCUUAACCGGGGAACUGCGUCUGAUACUGGAUGGCUUGAGUUCGGGAGAGGGAUGCGGAAUUCCAGGUGUAGCGGUGAAAUGCGUAGAUAUCUGGAGGAACACCGGUGGCGAAGGCGGCAUCCUGGACCAAUAUUGACGCUGAGGAGCGAAAGCCAGGGGAGCAAACGGG
Molecule: ribosomal RNA, 253 nt
Filed under: uncultured bacterium
Lineage: Bacteria
Description: partial 16S ribosomal RNA
Rfam family: Bacterial small subunit ribosomal RNA
Source: RNAcentral